RNAcentral lists this ribosomal RNA (411 nucleotides) under Triticum aestivum (bread wheat). RNAcentral's name for it is "partial small subunit ribosomal RNA". Lineage: Eukaryota; Viridiplantae; Streptophyta; Magnoliopsida; Poales; Poaceae. The record is from RNAcentral.
AUGAUCUUGCGUGAUCACAACGGUAAUAUAGUCCUCAGUGCUUGUCAUCAUCUGUACCAUCGCCUCAAUGCUUUAGAGUCUGAACUUGCAGCCAUCAGAGAGGGUCUGUCACUUGCUUUACAAUGGAGCGAGCUACCUAUAGACAUUGAGUCCGAUUGCUUGGAGGCUAUCAAUCUGUUGAAGAAGGGAGAAAUGGAUAGAUCUGCGAACAGUUUCAUGGUUCAUGAAAUCAAAAUACUCAUGGAUCAACGAAAUUCUUGUAUUACUCACAUUUAUCGUAGUCAAAACAAUGUAAGCCAUUUGUUGGCAUCUUUUGGUAAGACAAAUUUUUGUGUGAGGUUCGUUUUAAUUUUCAAAUCAUUUCGACACCUGAGCAGCUCUCAGCAAAAAAGACAAAUUCGGGGUCUGUAA